CCAGCGUGCAGACGACCACAUCCACGGACUCGUCCCGGACGCCCCGCAGCUCCUCCCCGGACAGCACCAAGAAGCGCUCGAAGGUCACGUGCUUGUUGGCGUCCAUGUUCCGGCGCAGGUAGCGCUCGAAGCCCGGGUUGGGGAGACGGUGAUGGUGUCGGCGAGGAGCGGGAACAGGCGGCGGUGGUACAGCGCACCGAAACCCGCCAUGCCCAGCAGACUCAGCGGCAAAGUCACGACCACGACCAGGAGUCUGCACAGUUUCAAACAACACGCCCGCAUUGCUGUCCCGCGCGCCCCGCAAUCACUUCUGCGGGGAUCAAGAGAUUAAAGCGGGGCUGCAGCGCGAACUCUGACCACAGGAGGGCGCCGCUGAGACGCUUCGGGCGACAAACUGUUAUACUUCUGAACCAUAGACUGUAAAAAUGAGGGACCUCAUUGCUCGCUCAGUCCAUUAUUUUUACAGUCUAUGUUCUGAACAAACAAAUACUUCUGCAAUAAAUAAAUACAUGUGAACAUUGUAAA
Oryzias melastigma (Indian medaka) is the source of this 525-nucleotide long non-coding RNA. RefSeq lists it as uncharacterized. The transcript has 2 exons. The record is from RefSeq and is a predicted model, not a curated record. NCBI's taxonomy places the organism in Eukaryota, Metazoa, Chordata, Actinopteri, Beloniformes, Adrianichthyidae.